AGUGAACGCUGGCGGUAGGCCUAACACAUGCAAGUCGAACGGCAGCACAGUAAGAGCUUGCUCUUACGGGUGGCGAGUGGCGGACGGGUGAGGAAUACAUCGGACUCUACUUUUUCGUGGGGGUUAAGGAAGGGAAACUUACUCUAAUACCGCAUACGCCCUACGGUUGAAAGCAGUGGAUCUUCGGACCUUGCGCGGUUGAAUGAGCCGAUGUCGGAUUAGUUAGUUGGCGGGGUAAAGGCCCACCAAGUCGACGAUCCGUAGCUGGUCUGAGAGGAUGAUAGGCCACACUGGAACUGGGACACGGUCCAGACUACUACGGGAGGCAGCAGUGGGGAAUAUUGGACAAUGGGCGCAAGCAUGAUCCAGCCAUACCGCGUGGGUGGAGAAGGCCUUCGGGUUGUAAAGACCUUUUGUUGGGAAAGAAAAGCAGCAGGUUAAGACCCCGCUGUUCUGACGGUAACCAAAGAAUAAGCACCGGCUAACUUCGUG
This 492-nucleotide ribosomal RNA is filed under the name uncultured bacterium. RNAcentral describes it as "partial 16S ribosomal RNA". It matches the Rfam family "Bacterial small subunit ribosomal RNA", at positions 29 to 507 of the family's 1533-position model. The record is from RNAcentral.